Molecule: long non-coding RNA, 8741 nt
Organism: Ictidomys tridecemlineatus (thirteen-lined ground squirrel)
Lineage: Eukaryota; Metazoa; Chordata; Mammalia; Rodentia; Sciuridae
Source: RefSeq, a predicted model, not a curated record
GUAUUGUAUGAUAGUAUGAAACACCAACUUUUUAAAGUGCUCAUUUUUUUCAAUACAUUUCAUUCCACUAAAAAUUUCCCCUAGUGCCUUCGACAUUACAAGGUUCGUGGAACUGCAAACCACCCAGUACUCUAAUUUGUAGAAUUGCCUUCUCUUGCUGCAGUAUGUCUUAGAUUAUGUGUAUUUAUUGUGUGCACUUGCCUAGUAAUUUAAAAUGAUGCUCCUAAAAUUGGAGCUUUCCAAAUGAAUACUGCAAUUUAGAGACUGAUAACAAGAAACCAGGUAUUUUUACAGGACUAUAAGGGGCAAAUUCAAGUGGCAAACUAACAUUCUGCUUUGUAAGUAAAAUUAAACUCAACAGGGUUUAGAACAUAAUUCAAGUUCAACUUUUUAAUGUUCUGCUCUUUUAGCCUUUGGCUUUAUGCCUAGGAGAUGAUAAAAUGCAUACGUUUUGGAAUUAUACCCAAUAGCAAUUUCAAACAGGUUGCUAUUGUCUGAGUAUUCAUGUAGCAUUCAGCUCAAGCUUUCCCUUGAAGUGAGUUUGAUCAAGUUGCCAAUUUUUGAUUAUAUACUUGCACUACUUUUUUCAAAAUUAGGAAAAAUAGAUUUCUUCUUCUGCCUGGCCACUCUCAGACAAAUUUAAAAACUAAAAUAAGGGUUCUAGUGUUUUUAUUAUUAUUAACAAUAUUAUUAAAGUUAACAUCUCCUAAUAAUUGAAGGAACUUAGAUUCUUGAAUGUUGCUGUUUUUAAUAUUCACUUGCAAAAUAUACACACAAAAUAGUUUUACUCAGCCAAACUUUUUUCUCCCUUUCCUCCAAUCUCCUCAGUUGUAAACUCAGGGCAAUGUUCUAGAGGAGACCUGCAGGACCAAAGCUUGAACACUCUGGAUUGAGCUUUUUAAAUAACUGCUACAAUUUUAGCAUCAGAAUCUUUAAAACACAGUUAUUCAAAUGUGAAUCAGAGGAAGAUGGGAACAGUAAAGAAAACUCCAACCAUCUGUUUGUAGAAUACACUGGUUAGAGUGAGCAGUUCACUUCAUUCAAUGUUGAUUAUACUUGGAAAAUAAUUGGCUGGCGAGGAAUGCAUUCUUGUGAUUCUAUUUCAGGGGAAAUAUCAGGGGAAUAUAUCUAUAUUCUCCUCUCCUAGAUAGAAAGAAGCUCCUUUUUGUUGUUCUUCUCUCCAAAUGAAGAUUGACUAUAACAUUCUUUUGUUCAUCUUACCAAAGCCUGCACUUCUUAUCUGGCCACACCAGCACACUAAAUUGGCAUUCAGUGGGGGGAGGACAUGACUUUCCCAUUGCUUGUUUAGAAUUGAGUGUUUCAUGCUACUCUCCCCAUAAAGUAUCUUAAGGGCUAUCUUUCCCUCAAAUGAUUGUUCACACUUUUUCUUUAUUUUGCUUUUGGAUGUCAGUGCUAUUAUUCACCUGUCUUCCACCAUUAUCAUCAUUAUCUAAAAAUUGAAUUUUCCAUAAAUAAUCAGCUGAAGCAUAAAAUCACUUGCUUUCACAAUCUUAGCACCCUGUGAGCCAGCAUUAUCAUAGCACCAUGCACAAUCUGGAGAGCCAUACGAGAGUGAAUGAACAUCUGACAAGAAUCUUCUUCUGGAUAUAAAAAGAAAUUAAAGCUGCACCUGUAUAUCUGCGUACAAUUUCAAGCACUUAUUUAAGUAUGCUAUAACAACAACAGAGAAAGCAAGGGUAGACAGUGCCAUAGGUGACUGUAUCAUGUUACCCAGGGAAAGGAAGAUUAGCCAUCCAGAGAUAUUAGUAAAAAUUUAUCCCUGAAGGGGAUACACAUUUGUGAAGAAUUGAUAUUCUCAGGCAAUAUAAGAAGUGAUCAAACACAAUUUAAAAGAUUCUAGAGAAAGGAGUGUUCAUUUUUUGUUAUAUUAUUUCAUAGAAAUCAAUGUCAUAAAUGUGUUUCCCAAAGCAAAUAGAAGGGUAGAAAACUAUCAUGGUUUAAAGAAUAAAAUGUGCUUAACUAAGCUAGGCUAAGUGGGAGCCAGAGCUUGAGUUCCUUCUAUUAUGUUCAGAGGCAGAGGAAGCAAUAAGAAAUUCACUCUUCAAAUAUCCUUAUAAUUCUUAUUCUUAAUGCAAACAUUAGGUCUAGAAACUCUGAGAAUAAUCAAAGAAGAAUCAGUAAUCUCUCAGUUUCCUCUGAACACAGAGCCUUUCCUCAACUUGGACUGUUUUUAUUUCCUGUAUCACAACUUACAAGAUGAAUCCAACAUGUAUUUACUUGAAUUUGUAAAGAAUGAAUCCUCCUUGGGAUGCAAACUGCUGGGAGAUCUCUAACUGCUUUUAGCCCUCUGCCUCUAACUCCACUCCAUCACUUCUUAUUCCUAGCAGAGUUCUACCUGUCAGUCUAAUUUUCUCUACCUUUUCAAUCAAUUCAAGUCCACUCAUUCUUUCCAAGAAUUUCUUCCUUGAAAAUUUUUGGUUUAAUCUUUCCUAAACCACCUAGUCACUUUUCAGCACAAACUUGAAGCCAUUGAAAGUUUGACUUUUUUGCCAAAGAAAUAAGUCAACAGGCAUUUGUUUAUAAAUUGCUGUUCAUCUUUUCAUUUAUCCAUUCAUUUAGCACCUGUCUCUUCAUCCUGCACUAAUGUCAACACUCAGAUCAAAAAUAGGAAAAAACUUUAGGAGGCUCAACAUUUUCUAGUCUACUAGAGAAUGAGAGACAUUUUUUUGUAAGUGGGGUAAGAAAGACCAGAGAAGUGCCCCCAGGUAAGUUUCAGGGACAUAGUAAGAGAUUAUGAAAAUAAGUCUGCCGUGGGUCCAUAUGCACAAUUGGAGGGGCUCAGUACAAAAUGAAAAUGUGAGGCUACUUCUUAAAAAUUAGUAAAAAUUUUAGCAUAGUAAGACAUUAAUCAAAGCACAGGGCCCCCUGAAACUAUAAGACUAAACACAUAAAAGUUGGCCUCCAUAGCUGUUAAAUUAGGUAUUCCUCUAUAGAACAGCAACAGCAAAAACUUUAGCAAGGGGAAGGAAUAAAUUAUAGAAAACAGAAGUUUUCUCAUUUAUAAAAUUAGAGUACUGAACCUUUUAUCACAAGUUUUUGUGAGCUUUUUCACACACACACACACACACACACACACACACACACACACACACACAGUUAUUUCACCCAAAAAGCCAUGUUUUGAUUAUGCCGUCUUGAAAUAUUUAUAUUUCAAUUUUAACUCUAAAAAAACCUAUGCUAAGGUAGAUGAAAUUACCAAACUAGGCAAUUUAAUGCCAAUUUAAAUGAUUUUGUUUUCAAAUAGUUGAAAAAUAUCUAAAGAUACCAGUUUCUACCAGAAUAGAAACCAAAAUUUGGUAACCCAUGAUUAAAUACUAUACAAAUUCUCUUCAUGUUCUCUUUUCUUGUGAUUCUCACUAACAAAAAGGGAACAUUUGAGAAUUUUCUGGGUUUUUUUUUCCCCUUGGAAAAAUGCAUGUAUGAUCAGUUUCAGAAAUACAAUGAGAAACUAAAACUUGGUGAAAACAAUGUACCUCUAACAUACUAAUUGAUUUAAGAAUUAAAGCUGCAUUUAUGUUCUCUAUCUUCACAUCUCACAGCACUAAUCUUAUGAUUUAUGCAGAUUCUAACUUGACAUACCUGUCCAUUUUUGGUACCUUGCCACUUCCGAAAGCUUCCAAGCUUUAAAAAGGCACAUGAAUUUACAUAAGCGUCUUUGGAAAAUGGACUGUGAACAGUUUUUCUUUCCUAAUUAUAUAUUCAUUUAACAUACAAUGAGCUUAUUAUACUUGGAAAAUUCACAGGCCUUUAUAUGAUAGAGUUAUGACCUGGACUCAAGAGUCUUUCACAAAUAAGAAAAAAAGCUAAUAGUUACUUAAAGCAAAGCUGGGUUUGCCAAUAUGUUGGUAUUUAGAGAUCAAAGGACACUGACUCAUGUUUUCUGUGUAAUUUAGUCUUAGUUAAUAUUAAUAACAUACAUUUUCAAAUAAUUUAUGUUUAGAGAAAAAUAUGUUAUGUCGUUGAUUUAAAAAAAAAAAACUUUAAAACAGGGCUGGGAAUGUGGCUCAGGGAUAGAGUACUUGUCUAGCAUGUAUGAGGGCUUUGGGUUGAUUCUCAGAACCCAAAAAACAAAAUAACAACACUUUAAAAUAGAGGUGUCUCCCUCUUAAAGAAAAUUAAUCUCCCUAAUGCAAUGUCUUAUUGGACUAUCCUAUACCACUGUGGAAGUAUUAGUUCACUAUUACACAAGAAUUUGAUAAUUUAAACAGCUUAAACAAAUCACUUCUUUUACUAGCUUAUUCUCUGUCUACAUAAACUGGUUUGCUUGACAACUAUAAAAUUUCUUUUAGACAUUGAACAGCAGUUUAGUUUCAUUUGUCUUACACUUUGUAUGUGGUUGUUUGCCUAUUUAGAACUUUUUAACAAACGACUAUAGAAGGUAACAUAUUUUGAUAAUCAGGUAUUUGGAUUCCCUACACUACUUUAGUUUGGAUGAUUCAAGUUACAGUUAACUGAAGUGACCUGAAUGACCAAAAUGACUGAAGUAGUUUUCAUGCACAUACAUGUAUAUCUGCAAAUACAAUAAGAACAAGUAAAUGAAUUAUCAUUGUAUACAGGCAACACAAUGAUGAAGACUGAAUCUUUUGCAUUUAGUUCACUCAACAAAUACUGAGUGCCUGCUAGAAGAAGCCAACCUCUCUUUUAGACACUGGUAUUUACAUCAACUGACAGAUUUUCUCAAGUUUCUUGAUGGCAGCAUUUUGAAACAAAGAUUGUGACGUUACUCAUUUUGAGAACAAUUCUGAGGUUUUAUAUCAUCAAUAUUUUGAGUCAAAAUUGUAAGGUAAUCACAUUUCACUCUGUAAUUCGUUCCACUGAUUGCAUAAGAAAAAUAGGAGCUGACAUCAUAAUACAAAAAUACUGUCACUUCCCAUUUAUGUAACCUUGAGGCAAAUUCCUGGUGUGUAGGGUUCAUUGUUUAAUGAGUACCUACAUUAUACCAGGAAAGUUCUAGAAUGCAACAGGAAGAAAUGGUAAGAUAGAAUUGUGUAUGAAUGCUUUCCGAUGCCAUGAGAAGGAACUUUUAUGCUAAAACUUAAAGAUCAAUCAGGAAAGGAACAUGAUCAGAUAUGCUCUAAAGGAAGAUCCUUUGGACAACCUCAGAGAGUGCUUUAGAGAUCAGUGGCUUGCUAAUAGAAUAAGUAGGGCACAGUGCAGUAAUUCUGAUGAGAAAUAACAAGGGCCUGGGAAAAGAAAAUAAGGGGUAGGGAAAAGGAGAUAUAGACCCAAAAGAUAGUAUGGAGAUAAAAUCUACAGAACUUGACAACCUAUUGACUAUGCGAAAGAAGAAAGAGGAAGCAAAGAUGAAGGCCAGUUUUAAUGCUUAGAUGGUCAAUGGGAGGCAGAUCCCCUACUUGGGUCAGACUAAGGCAGUUCCAAGUCAUACUUAGAGUGUCAGAGUAUUUGGUUAUGAGGCAUCCUCACUUCGAAAGCUGCCCUGGUUUAUAUGAUAAACUAUGUGCCCCAACCCAAGAAAACAGUCAUUACUUAUGACCAUGAUCAGAUUGAUCAGAUUCACGUCAUCAGGAAGACUCUGAGAAAAGUGAAUGCUAAGUAAAUGAACAGCAUUUAAGUUAAGGCUCUCCAGAGACAAAUCUCCUUAAGCAAAAUAGGUUUGUGCCUGUGGAGGUCAGAAGAGAAACAUUGGAGUUGAUAUGUAGAUUCGGGCACUAUGUCAGCAUAUUAGAGUCAAAAGGGAAUGAAAUGACAAAGUAGCAUGUGAAAAAAUAAGGGAAAUGCUGGUAAUAAAAUCCUGGGAAGUACUGAAGUAUCAUGAUAAAGAGGAGGAAGGAUUUGCAAAGGAGAUUGUGAAAUGGCUGCCAGUGACAGAUACUAGGAGAAAAAUCCAAAUAAAUCAUAUCAUUUGAACAGAGAGAGAAGAUAAUUCCCAUGCAACAGAGUAAAAAAACAAGUAAAAUAAGAAAUAAUACAUACCACUGAAUAGAGUGAUUCUGAAGUCACUGAUAAACUUGGCAAGGGUAAAUUCCAUGGAUGAUGAAUGUAAUAACCAAAUUACAACAGGUGGAGAGGCAAGCAAUAUUGUGUGAAGGCAGUGCAUAAUCUUAAGAAAAUCAGAAGAUUUAAAGUCAGAGAUUCUCCCCCACAAACACACAUCUCUUACAGAAUGACUUUGGGCAGGUAGUUUUAUUUGAACCUCACUCAUUCUUCAAUCAGUACAUAUUCAUCAAACAUUUAUAGAGCAAUCAAUGUAUGGCAGGCACAGAGCUAACUAGCUAACCAUGGACAACAUAUGAUAUGGAGGAACACAAUAUGAGUAAUGCUCUUACCAGUAUAUGGGCAGUAUGGUUUGCUCUCUGACUAUAAGCCCUAUUAGUAAUAAUUAUUUUAAAAUUCAGCUAAUGUUUACUAAGUUCCUCCAAAUGUCAAGCACUGUGUUAAAGACUCCAUAUGAAUUAUUUCACUUCAUCCAUUUAGCAUGUUAUGUAGACACAAUGUGAGAGUGGUACUACUUUCAGUUCUAAUCUGCAGGUAAGGAAAUCAAGACACAGAGAGGUUUAGGAACUUAUUGAAUGUCACCCUGACAGAUAAAGAAUAGUGAGGAGAGCCCAGAUGGGCUGGCUUUGAGCUAGUAUUUUGUACCUCUUUCCCUGUCAAGUGUCAGGUCAUUUCUAUCUCUUCAAUAUUGUGUCCUGUAUAUUCUCUCAGUUCCUGAUACAUUUUAAUUCCUGAAAUAUUAAUAACUGUGGAAGACAAGAAAGAAAGAGAGGGAAAGAGGGAGGAGGGCACAAAAGAAGGAAGGACUACAGUAAGAAACCAGGAUGGAGUGACAAGUUUUGCCUAGUAGUUGGAAUUUUUAAUCAAAGAGAUGAAAGGCUGGCAGAAUCUUACAGGAAGUGCAAUGACUGAACCAAGAAAGAGAAGAACAGUAACUCCAUAUAAGUUUGCAAAUGCAGCACUUUAUCAUGCCCAUUCACCUGUUUGAAGGCCUCACAUUCUCUAAUCUUCUGAAGUACCUAAUCUUUGCCCAUGUGAUCACAGAUGGCAUCAUUGGGCACCAUUUUAUUCUACAUCUUGAUGUGAAUAGUCACUAACCUUACUGUCUGGACUUCUUACCCCACGUCUUGCCAGUCAUCUAAAAUUUUAAAUUCAAACGACUGGUUUUUUUUCAAAAUCUUGUAGAGCUUUUUAUAUAGAUGCCCUGGGGUUUCAACAGAAACAAACAAUCACUUCUGCACGAGACACCUUUGGAAAUAUUAAGCACCUAUAAAUAAUAGAUCUCUUUCUGUAUGGUUGCUUUUUAUUCUCUCAUUUUAAACUUUCUUGCAAACCCUACAAUUAUAAAGAACAAAACUCCCAGGUGCUUUAGAAAGUACUUGAUAUUCACUCCAACUGCUACAGUUCUUUCAACACUUAUAUGUGUUUCCUGCCCAAGUAUAGGUAAAUUAUACCAUGAGUCAUAAAAACAAAACAGUCUUUAACAUUAAAUAAGAUGGUUUUAACAACACCAAUAUUACAUAAGCAAAAUAUAGAAAGGGAUUUGUAUCUGUCUAUUAAUUUAUUUGUUUGAAAAGUUUGGGGGGGAAUCAUCCUAUUUAUUCACUUUUCAUAUACUUUGUAUAGACAUGACUACCCAAUUGCCAAUCACAUGUAAAACUGACCUGUUUUUUUCUGAAUUCAUUCUAUUUCCUGUGACUGUCACCUACACUGUUCUAGUGUGGUUUUUAAGUUUAAGUAGUAUUUUGUGAAACCUAAAACAUAAGGUCUUAUAGAGCAUAUUCAUACUGUACAGCCCAUUUUUGAUAACCCUAAUGUGGUCACCAAGAGCCAAGCUCCAAGUAGAAGUUUUGCUGAGUGUCAACCAAUGACAGGUCACAUCUUCAAGAAUAAAGGGAAAAUUGGUAACACCAUACAUUAUGUAGCCUGGUCUCUUAUUCUUCAUUGAACAAUACAAAAUCCAAGUAUUGAAGACAAAAAGGACUAGCACUGAUCAGAAGAAACUUCUCUUGACUUUUACUGCAGAUUGAAUUUUGUCCUCCCAAACACCUGGCAAAGAAAGAUCACCCUCGAUGGAUGGACAGUAUUACUUUUAUAUUGGAAUAAAGUGUGUUCAACUCAACUCAUGUAAAACUACAUUAAAUAUUUAUGCCUACUUCACCUCCUGGAAUUGUUGGUUAAUUUACUUUUCACCUGAUGUUUGUGAUAAUUGACCAGGAAGUGUUUGUAUUUUUCUAAAAAUGAAACAAGAAAAUUCUUUAAUAAACAUUUUAAACAUGAUGUUCUGGAGACUGUUACAUUGGCAAUUCAAUGCUUCAGUCAAAAAUGACACGAGUCAUUUUAUCCUACAACUCACUAGUCUGAAUCAAUCACAUAGCUCCUUAUAGCCUGGCUCAGAAUCCAGCCUUCCAGUGACAACUGCAUGCUAUAAAAUUAAACUUUGGAAUAAUGCAUUAAUUUCUAGUCUUAUAAGACUGGUGUGAGGGGAGUGGGUGAUAUCUUUUUUAAAAAAAAUUUGCCUAAUAAUAGAAGAAUCAUCAUGUUCUAAGUAAGAUUGCAAGAGACCAGCAACCAAAGAAUCCUCAGGGAGGGCCAAUGUCACUGACAUCUACUGACAUCUACUUUUUGAUAAUACCAUCUUCCAAAAGUGACUUGAGAAACCAUCACAGUUGACAUUUGUUACAAAGCCCUAUGGAAAAGAAAAUUGCACACUUUUUUUUUUUUUAACAAUUUUAAAAGAUUUUGCACAAAGGCUUUCUACAGCC